GAUGAUUCAGUCUCCAAACUGACAAGCAGAUUAUUACUACAUUCUGGGGAGAUGAGAGGAGAGACCGUGUUUGGGCAGAGAAGCUAACAGGUGAGUUAGAAGGUGAAGUGAGAGAUAAGAAGGUUAGGAUGGACAGAAUGAAGUAUUCAUUUAAGUCAACACAUGGGAGGUUCCAACAUAGGGUGUUUCAUUUUCCACGUGAGGAGUACCGGUCUAGACAUACCAUAAGCCGUGGGCUGGUGCUAGAGAUGAUAGAUGAAGAACAUGAAGACGUCAUUAGACAGGGUCUUUAGUUUAUUCGUGAUGAACUUUUAGUAUUAGCGUUUAGAACGUUUAGCUAUGAAAUAAAACUUGAUUUUGGUUUUUACCAAGUAUUUUGGUUUAAGUGAUGUAAAUGGCUUAAUGUCGAUGAAAUACAGGGUUUCAAGUAGGGAAAGUUAGAGAUAGAAGCUCUUCUUUCUCUCUAGAAUUCCCC
Molecule: long non-coding RNA, 475 nt
Filed under: Panax ginseng (ginseng)
Lineage: Eukaryota; Viridiplantae; Streptophyta; Magnoliopsida; Apiales; Araliaceae
Description: long non-coding RNA (PGIN_LNC016257)
Source: RNAcentral